CCCUUAGAUGUCCUGGGCCGCACGCGCGCUACACUGACAUGUUCAACAAGCCUCCUAGUUCGACAGGAUUUGGGAAAUCUUUGAACGCAUGUCGUGAUAGGGAUAGAUCAUCGCAAUUAUUGAUCUUGAACGAGGAAUUCCUAGUAAACGCGAGUCAUCAGCUCGCAUUGAUUACGUCCCUGCCCUUUGUACACACCGCCCGUCGCACCUACCGAUUGAAUGUUUCGGUGAAGAUUCCGGAUAGGACUUUUUUGAUUUAUUUCAAUUUUGUCUUAAAAGCUAUCUAAACCUCAACAUUUAGAGGAAGGUGAAGUCGUAACA
Molecule: ribosomal RNA, 321 nt
Filed under: uncultured eukaryote
Lineage: Eukaryota
Description: partial 18S ribosomal RNA
Rfam family: Eukaryotic small subunit ribosomal RNA
Source: RNAcentral